GAUUAACGCUGGCGGCGUGCAUAACACAUGCAAGUCGAACGAUGAAACUCAUUAGAUUUCUUCGGAAUGAAAAUGAAUGGAUUAGUGGCGAACGGGUGAGUAACGCGUGAGUAACCUGCCUUACACAAGGGGAUAGCCUCUGGAAACGGAGAAUAAUACCCUAUGAAACAGACAAUCGCAUGAUAAUCUGGUCAAAAUGUUUAGUGGUGUAAGAUGGACUUGCGUCUGAUUAGCUAGUUGGUGAGAUAAAAGCUCACCAAGGCAACGAUCAGUAGCCGGCUUGAGAGAGUGUACGGCCACAUUGGGACUGAGACACGGCCCAGACUCCUACGGGAGGCAGCAGUGGGGAAUUUUGCACAAUGGGGGAAACCCUGAUGCAGCGACGCCGCGUGAUUUAGAAGGCCUUCGGGUUGUAAAAAUCUUUUGUAUAGGAAGAAAAUGACAGUACUAUACGAAUAAGGUCCGGCUAAUUACGUG
Molecule: ribosomal RNA, 477 nt
Filed under: uncultured bacterium
Lineage: Bacteria
Description: partial 16S ribosomal RNA
Rfam family: Bacterial small subunit ribosomal RNA
Source: RNAcentral